Small nuclear RNA from Gorilla gorilla gorilla (western lowland gorilla), 153 nucleotides. It matches the Rfam family "U1 spliceosomal RNA". Rfam says of the family: U1 is a small nuclear RNA (snRNA) component of the spliceosome (involved in pre-mRNA splicing). Its 5' end forms complementary base pairs with the 5' splice junction, thus defining the 5' donor site of an intron. The record is from Rfam. NCBI's taxonomy places the organism in Eukaryota, Metazoa, Chordata, Mammalia, Primates, Hominidae.
AUACUUACCUGGCAGGGGAGACACCAUGAUCACAAAGGUGGUUUUCCCAGGGCAAGACUCAUCCAUUGCACUCCAGAUGUGACCUCUAUGAUUUCCCCAAAUGUGAGAAACUUGACUGUAUAAUUUGUGAUUAUAAUUUUUUAAUUAAAAAAU